UAGGGAAUCUUCCGCAAUGGACGAAAGUCUGACGGAGCAACGCCGCGUGAGUGAAGAAGGAUUUCGGUUCGUAAAACUCUGUUGUUAGGGAAGAAAAAAUGUAUAGUAACUAUAUACAAAAGAGACGGUACCUAACCAGAAAGCCACGGCUAACUACGUGCCAGCAGCCGCGGUAAUACGUAGGUGGCAAGCGUUGUCCGGAAUUAUUGGGCGUAAAGCGCGCGCAGGUGGUUUAGAAAGUCUGAUGUGAAAGCCCACGGCUCAACCGUGGAGGGUCAUUGGAAACUAAUAAACUUGAGUGCAGGAGAGAAAAAUGGAAUUCCUAGUGUAGCGGUGAAAUGCGUAGAGAUUAGGAGGAACACCGGUGGCGAAAGCGGCUUUUUGGCCUGCAACUGACACUGAGGCGCGAAAGCGUGGGGAGCAAACAGG
RNAcentral lists this ribosomal RNA (429 nucleotides) under Verrucomicrobiota bacterium. RNAcentral's name for it is "Verrucomicrobia bacterium partial 16S ribosomal RNA". It matches the Rfam family "Bacterial small subunit ribosomal RNA", at positions 355 to 776 of the family's 1533-position model. The record is from RNAcentral. Lineage: Bacteria; Pseudomonadati; Verrucomicrobiota.